GAGGGUAUAGCUCAUUGGUAGAGCAGGUGUUAGCAUGCAUGUGGUCCUGGGUUCAAUCCCCAGUACCGCCA
This 71-nucleotide transfer RNA is filed under the name Camelus dromedarius (Arabian camel). It matches the Rfam family "tRNA". From Rfam's summary of the family: Transfer RNA (tRNA) molecules are approximately 80 nucleotides in length. Their secondary structure includes four short double-helical elements and three loops (D, anti-codon, and T loops). The record is from Rfam by way of RNAcentral. RNAcentral also lists the same sequence under 1 other name. Lineage: Eukaryota; Metazoa; Chordata; Mammalia; Artiodactyla; Camelidae.